GGUGGUCAGAUUGGCCGAUCAAAGUCGGAUCUAAUUAUUCGUUAGUUAGAUGUACUGAGUAUGAUCAUAUUAAUAGUUGAACCUAAUCAGACCUUUUAGUAGAGGCCAAAGCCUACUGAAAAGGUAUCUGAGGUAAAAUUAUUUACUAAAAAUUAUUUAAAAAAAUAAUUGAUUAAAAAUCUAUCUAUAGAUGCACAUGGAUUGGCCGACCAAAGUCAGGCCUAUGUGUAGUUUGUGUGGAUUCUAGUAUCCACUAAGAAAUUAAAGUAAUUUCUCGAAUUAGAGAUAGAGGCUAUCAAUUUGUAUAAAAUAGUGAAAAAAUUUUUAAACUAAAGUUCAAAUCUUUAGGCUUAAUAAUUCAUAUACUAAUUAGACUUUUGAUUUUUUUUAUGCAAUAUUGGCCACUACUUUAUCGCUCCGAUCAUUAUUGGAUAGUGAUAAAUUGACAGGAUCCAAUUUCGAUAGCUGAUAUCAAAAAUUAAAGAUUAUCCUGGAGUAUGAACGGAUCUUGUAUGUGCUUAUAGAUCCGACACCUGAGGAGCUCGCUCUGAAUGCUGGUGGUGCAGUCUGAGAUACUGUAAAAAUAAAAAGGUGCAACAUGCUAGGGGUCAGACCAAAAAGUUCAAAUCUGAUCAGAGUCAGACAGAGUACUUCUACUAUAAA
Molecule: long non-coding RNA, 663 nt
Filed under: Elaeis guineensis (African oil palm)
Lineage: Eukaryota; Viridiplantae; Streptophyta; Magnoliopsida; Arecales; Arecaceae
Description: long non-coding RNA (EGUI_LNC048222)
Source: RNAcentral